ACAAGUUUGCAAAAACUUUUGAUUGUGUGUGAACUGUUAUACUGUAGAACCGUGUGUGCGUUGGUUGCGCAUGGUGUUGGCCUUUGGGUCAUGCACCGCACUGAUGCACACCGGAAUCCAACUUGAACCAACUUUGAAACUGAUUGACUGAAGUAAUAAAGAGUAAACCUAGA
Molecule: unclassified non-coding RNA, 173 nt
Filed under: soil metagenome
Description: partial internal transcribed spacer 1
Source: RNAcentral